AUGCCCAGCACUCUACUCACAUCACUCUCCUCUCUUUACAAGAACCUAGGAAACUCUUUUCUGGACCAGGAGUUAGCAACAGUGAUGACAAAUACCUCUUUUGGGGCAAGAUGCUUGACAAAAUGGACAAGUACUAUUUACAGGUGGUUUUAGAUGCGAUAUGUUAAUUAGACCGUUUCUGCCUGAGCCCAGGACUGGUUUGGCCACAGAAACAGUUUUGGUAAUCCUGAUAGAAUGUCAGAACAGAAUGAGAUAAUACAGCACAAUAUCCAGCAAGAUACUACUGUCCAAAAUAUCUUGCUGGAUUAGUUGUACAGAUUAGAUGCCCGAGUUGUCAUGCCACAGUAGUUCUUCUCUUAAGGACUGAUUAUAAAAGGUGGCACUGUGGGAUUUCUGCUGAACUUGGCAGCACGUUCCAUUCUAUGCACUGAGCCCUGUACUAUGUACUGUACAGGAAGCCACUGGGUGAAUUUAUCUGACAAUCACAGAAGGAACAUGUUGGCAAAUAACAACAACAAACUGUGGAACUCAGAAAUAGCAUUUAACCAGUUUUGCAUGGGAUUGGAGUCCAUCUGAAAGAACAUGUUUGAAGCUGGGUGGUUCUAGACCCAGUUUCUCAACUAAGGCAAAAUUCAGCUGCCGCUAUUUUAAACAGCACUGUCAGGGUAGUUAAUACAAGUCCAAUCUUAAAAACAGUGCAGUGGUUGCCAUAAAAAAAAAUUAAGAACAUUUACACAAAGGCAAUUUUUACAGAUCCAUAUCCCGUUCUCUUUGUAUUAGACUGUAAUAACAGUGUACAAUUCAAUGGCCAGAAUCUUACUUAUUUACACUGGCAAUAACUUCACCACGGUAAAUUGCUGAAUGCAACUGUUGCAUGAUAGCAAAUGCUUACACUGUCUUCUUAACUUACUGGUAGUUCUUUGCUGAAAUGUAUGUUGACGGAGUUACUACAGAUGUAUAGUGUCCUGCAGGAGUGAGGGAGUCUCUUGCAAGGCAAAAAUUGCACAAAAUGAGGUUUGUUACUAGACAUGUGCACAGUGAACAUUUCCAUUUUUGUUUUGUUUUGGGUUCUUUCAAAGGGGGCCUCUUCUGUUUUCAUUUUUUCCCCACACGGCUCUCCAUUGUUUUGACAUGAGAGACCACCUUUUUUCAGAUUCUUUUCUCUGAAUAAAAAAGAAGA
Molecule: long non-coding RNA, 1180 nt
Filed under: Pogona vitticeps (central bearded dragon)
Lineage: Eukaryota; Metazoa; Chordata; Lepidosauria; Squamata; Agamidae
Description: lncRNA (ENSPVIG00000016395.1)
Source: RNAcentral